This 497-nucleotide ribosomal RNA is filed under the name uncultured bacterium. RNAcentral describes it as "partial 16S ribosomal RNA". It matches the Rfam family "Bacterial small subunit ribosomal RNA", at positions 28 to 507 of the family's 1533-position model. The record is from RNAcentral.
GAUGAACGCUGGCGGCGUGCCUAAUACAUGCAAGUCGAGCGAACAGACGAGGAGCUUGCUCCUCUGACGUUAGCGGCGGACGGGUGAGUAACACGUGGAUAACCUACCUAUAAGACUGGGAUAACUUCGGGAAACCGGAGCUAAUACCGGAUAAUAUAUUGAACCGCAUGGUUCAAUAGUGAAAGACGGUUUUGCUGUCACUUAUAGAUGGAUCCGCGCCGCAUUAGCUAGUUGGUAAGGUAACGGCUUACCAAGGCAACGAUGCGUAGCCGGCCUGAGAGGGUGAUCGGCCACACUGGAACUGAGACACGGUCCAGACUCCUACGGGAGGCAGCAGUAGGGAAUCUUCCGCAAUGGGCGAAAGCCCGACGGAGCAACGCCGCGUGAGUGAUGAAGGUCUUCGGAUCGUAAAACUCUGUUAUUAGGGAAGAACAAAUGUGUAAGUAACUAUGCACGUCUUGACGGUACCUAAUCAGAAAGCCACGGCUAACUACGUG